Dunckerocampus dactyliophorus (ringed pipefish) is the source of this 516-nucleotide long non-coding RNA. RefSeq lists it as uncharacterized. The transcript has 3 exons. NCBI's taxonomy places the organism in Eukaryota, Metazoa, Chordata, Actinopteri, Syngnathiformes, Syngnathidae. The record is from RefSeq and is a predicted model, not a curated record.
UUGACGUUUCUUUCUCCAGGUGAAGGAACAAGCUAGCAAUGGCAGACACUAGGUCGGAAAAAACUCCUAAAAAAGCUGUGUUUGCAGAAAGGUGACAGCAUGAAGUUGUCCGUUGUUUUGUGUGCGUUAGAUGAACAAAUAAUUGGCAUACACGUCAAAGAAACCUUCACUAAAGCAAGAAAAACUACACCACACGACGAGGAGAAGACAAGGAAACAACUGCCUCUCUUGUUGCGACCUCCCAUUGCAGGCACUACUACUACUACACACACAGAUGGCAUGCUAAGGUCAGUAAUGCCAUCCAAGCCUUGAACGCUCUGCUGUGGCCAUCACCUGUCUCAAACACGUAACCUUUUGUGGUCUAACCCGCCCUGCAUUGCAAGCUGCAUUGCAGUGAGAAUGCCCUGAUUCCCACGAGGUACACAUCAAUUGCCUGCAUGACUCACAGCAACACAAUACUUUAUACACUGCUCCAAAAAAUAAAGGGAACACUCAAUUCAAUUGGCAGUUUCACUA